UUUACGGAUCAUUUCGGCUUAGAGGACUGGGUGAGUUAAAAUAUCGUAUGUCAAAUAUCGUAUAUAAAAUAUAUUUUUAAUAAACAACUGGUAGCAAGAUGAGUUGCAGAUAAUUGGUCAGUAACCACAUUUUUACUAAUUAUUUUGACCUGUUAAUUCUUUUCAGCUCAAUUCAACAGUAAAAAAUGCCCAUAAUAUCACUUUAAACAACACUUUCCCGACUACCUUGUGUACAUUACAUAAUACAUGUACCAAUAUCCAUAUACAUUAAUUUCCCGAUUAGGCUUUACCAAGAAAAUGAACGCGAAUAACUUUGCGGAAUGAAAUUAAUCAAAACCGUGACCAUAACAAUUAAAGGAAAACUUAACCAUGUCAGUCAUUGAAAAGAACUCAGAACUUUUUGCGUUGUGUAAAUAGCAAGGCGAUUAUCGUUUCCGCAAAAAUCCCCCCUCCCGGUUAAAAUUUUGUUAAGAUAUAAUGCAACGGACUUCUUAAAAUGGCAUAUCAACUAUACUUUCCCGUCAAUAUAUACCUGCAUUUAAACAAUCCCCUGUUUUAAGCUAACAUAUCUAUGAUACAUUUGUGACACCCUUGAUAAUAAUAUAAAUUAAUACACUCGCGGAAUACGUUUUUAUACAAACCUCUAGUCGGAUUUGAACACUCGUCUUCAACAAUCGCGCACUUUACUGAGAAUUUAACUUUGCUACUGAUAGUUGUUGUAGUAGUAGUAGUAAAAGUAGUAGCAGUAGUAGUAGUAGUAGAAGUAGUAGUAGUAGUAGUAGUAGUAGUAGUAGUAGUAGUAGUAGUAGUAGUAGUAGUAGUAGUAGUAGUAGUAGUAGUAGUAGUAGUAGAAGGGAGUAGUAGUAGUAGUUGUCGUAGAAGUAGUAGUAGUAUUAGAAGUAGUAGUAAAAGUAGUAGUAGUAGAAGUAUUAUUAUUAUUAGUAGUAGUAGUAGUAGUAGUAGAAAAAGUAGUAGUAGUAGUAGCAGUAGUAGUAGUAGUAGUAGUAGUAGUAGUAGUAGUAGUAGUAGUAGUAGUAGUAGUAGUAGUAGUAGUAGAAGUAGUAGUAGUAGUAGCAGUAGUAGUAGUAGAAGCAGCAGUAGUAGUAGUAGUAGUAGUAGAAGUAGUAGUAGUAGUAGUAGUAGUAGUAGUAGUAGUAGUAGUAGUAGUAGUAGUUGUUGUACAGCAGCAGCAGCAACAACAACAACAGCAAUAGAAGAAGCAGUUAUAGUAGUACUUAUAGUAGUAUGUUAUGUUAUAUCAGAGCAUUGCCUGCUUUGACCAGCUAUAUAUAUGCGUACAGAAUAUUUACACAUGUUACGCAAAAUUUGAUUGGCUGACUAACUCGGGAUCUCGAGAUAGCGAAAAUUCUCUCCUCUUUUGAUUGAUGCACUCUGCCUUUAUUUACCUCACCGCUCUUCUUUUUUAAUUGUACGCCGCUUUUAUUUAGUUUUGCACUCCUCUUUUUACUAUCUCGUGGCCACGACAUAGCUAACUCGUGGCCACGAGAUAGAAAAAAAGAGGAGAGCAAUUAAAAAAAAGAGAAGCACCGCUCUUUUUUUAAUUGUACGCGGCUUUUAUUUAGUUUUGCACUCCUCUUUUUCUAUCUCGUGGUCACGACAUAGCUAACUCGUAGCCACGAGGUAGAAAAAAGAGGAGAGUAAUUUAAAAAAAGAGAAGUGAAUGUCACCUCUAUGCCACCGUACAUAACCUUAAAUUAUACUGCUAAAAAGAAAUCCAAACCCGAGAUCACACAAAUUGAUGAAAAGAUACUUGAAAGACAUAUAGUAAAUACUACUACCUAACAAGAAUUGAUUCUAACCUAAAGCAAAUAACAUGGGAUCAGUUACAUAACCAUAAUCCUGGAUGGUAAUUCAGAAAGACGUAUUCACGAAGGUCCUAAAUCAAGUUACAAACUACAUGUAGACUCUUUUUGUCUUAAUGCCAAUAAAUGAUAUUUAUUUUAAUUACCAGCAUGUUAGAAGGUAAUAUGGUAAUGACUGUUUUGACUGCUUCAAAAACUUAUAUUAGGCAAGAAGUAAAGAUGAUUACAAUUCACCGAAUUUGCUUGCUUACAUUAUUUUUGUAGAAGAAGAAAGACAACUUUUUUCAUUGAAUCCUGUGUUUCUGUGCUUUUCUUUCCCUUGUUGUAAAAAUUAGUCUCUCUUUAUGAGGCGCAUAUAUUUAAGAAAUUUUACUAGACUGAUAAUUGAAUUAAGAGCAUUUAAUACACGAUACUUGUUAUCUGUUUGACUUAAGUUAUACAAUGCACUAUUCUCGUUAGACAACUAUUAAGAAUAUGUCGCUCCAGGGAACAAAGUUCGCUCAUCUGGAAGAGUGGAAUUGUGUGCCCUGCCAUCACAAACUUCAGGAAACAUUGCUUUGUUUUCUCUUUUUAAUAAACUGUUCGUCCUAGCAAGCCAGAAUUGUAAAAUCAUUUCUUUAGACCAUGAGCAGUUACUAGACCACCAUUAAGACAAAAAACCUCUAAUAAAGCCGGUUAAAAAUCUAAAUGUGUAGUGCUCGCAUGGUUGUGUAAAUUUCCAUCAUUGACACUUGCAUUAAUUUGGACCAUGCUCUGCCAAAAAGGAGUUUAAUGAAUGUGCGUAAAGUGUCGUCACAGAUCAGCCUGUGCUGUCCACGCAGACUAAUAAGCUCUUCUUAGCAAAAAUAUAAUUAAGCGAAAAGUUUCGUCUAUCUGGGACAACACUUUACGCACAUGCAUUAAACCCCCUUUUCACGGAGCGGGGAUUAUUUGUAUUUCUCUUUCUACACGGUUAUGCUCGAUCCACACAUUCUGUGGCAACGUGCAAGGUCAGCCUCCAGUGAUUCUAGUGGGGACUCACCUCAAUGACGUCGUGUGUCGCACAGGCCAGACACAGACCCAGUUUGCUGAGGAAUACUUUGAGAAAUUCGGGAAACUUUUGGAGAACUCGCCCAUUGCUGAUCACCUAUAGCCAGAACAGUUUGCAGCUGAUGGCACACACUCUGAUGACUGUUUUGAGGGUUUGGGAAAAGCCAUAGUAACAGUUGCUUAGAGACAGAAGGAUUGGAACUAGGAGAUACCUUCACACUGGUUGUAUCUUGAGCGGACCUUGAGUAAACAGGUUGCAGAGGAAAAGUUUUUCGACAUGGAACGGCUUGCCGACAUCAAUGAAGAGAUGGAGGUUCUGAUAACUGAUGGAGGAAGUUACUCUGUUUUUCUCAGGUGAAAACAAAUUAGAAAAGAACAGAAAGCUUAUUUGGGACCAAAGUUUUUACAUCUCAUCAGUCCACACAGGCUAAUCAGGAACGACACUUUCUGCCUAAAAUUGAUUUUUGCUAAGAAGAGACUUUCUUUUAACGAAAAAUAUCAUAAAAUUGGAAAGUGUCGUCCCUGAUUAGCCUGUGUGCACAUGUAUUUAACCCCCGUUUCUCAGAGCAUGACCCAUAUAUUUCAAAACGAUCUAUAUAAAAAACAAUGAAAGAGGUAUCAGAACUCUCGCCCAGUUUGAUCAAUGUGAAGAGAAUGUUUAAAACACGAAACAGAACAGAUAACUAAAUUUAGCCACAAUAAUAAGUAUUCAAAUUGAAACAUAUCAAUGUGCUAUGGACCCUGACCAAGACGUAUGCAUGAUCAUUAAAAUAGGAAAUACAGUUUGUUUGUUGUGAAUGUAACCUUCUUACUUUAUAUAUCUGCUAAAAUA
Long non-coding RNA from Dreissena polymorpha, 3684 nucleotides. RefSeq lists it as uncharacterized. The record is from RefSeq and is a predicted model, not a curated record. Lineage: Eukaryota; Metazoa; Mollusca; Bivalvia; Myida; Dreissenidae. The transcript is spliced from 3 exons.